GAUGAACGCUGGCGGCGUGCUUAACACAUGCAAGUCGAGCGAAGCACUUAAGUUUGAUUCUUCGGAUGAAGACUUUUGUGACUGAGCGGCGGACGGGUGAGUAACGCGUGGGUAACCUGCCUCAUACAGGGGGAUAACAGUUAGAAAUGACUGCUAAUACCGCAUAAGACCACGGUACCGCAUGGUACAGUGGUAAAAACUCCGGUGGUAUGAGAUGGACCCGCGUCUGAUUAGGUAGUUGGUGGGGUAACGGCCUACCAAGCCAACGAUCAGUAGCCGACCUGAGAGGGUGACCGGCCACAUUGGGACUGAGACACGGCCCAGACUCCUACGGGAGGCAGCAGUGGGGAAUAUUGCACAAUGGAGGAAACUCUGAUGCAGCGACGCCGCGUGAAGGAUGAAGUAUUUCGGUAUGUAAACUUCUAUCAGCAGG
This 433-nucleotide ribosomal RNA is filed under the name uncultured bacterium. Its description in RNAcentral is "bacterial SSU rRNA". It matches the Rfam family "Bacterial small subunit ribosomal RNA", at positions 28 to 443 of the family's 1533-position model. The record is from RNAcentral.